RNAcentral lists this ribosomal RNA (887 nucleotides) under Ophiocordyceps sp. LSZ-2017a. Its description in RNAcentral is "LSU rRNA". It matches the Rfam family "Eukaryotic large subunit ribosomal RNA", at positions 40 to 941 of the family's 3401-position model. Lineage: Eukaryota; Fungi; Ascomycota; Sordariomycetes; Hypocreales; Ophiocordycipitaceae. The record is from RNAcentral.
AUAUCAAUUAGCGGAGGAAAAGAACCCAACAGGGAUUGCCCUAGUAACGGCGAGUGAAGCGGCAGCAGCUCAAAUUUGAAAUCUGGCUCCCCCCCGCGGGGUGCCCGAGUUGUAAUUUGCAGAGGAUGCCUCUGGCGCGGCGCCUUCCGAGUUCCCUGGAACGGGACGCCAUAGAGGGUGAGAGCCCCGUAUGGUCGGCAGCCAAGCCUCUGUGAGGCUCCUUCGACGAGUCGAGUAGUUUGGGAAUGCUGCUCAAAAUGGGAGGUAUAUGUCUUCUAAAGCUAAAUACCGGCCAGAGACCGAUAGCGCACAAGUAGAGUGAUCGAAAGAUGAAAAGCACUUUGAAAAGAGGGUUAAACAGUACGUGAAAUUGUUGAAAGGGAAGCGCUCGCGACCAGACUCGGGCCCGGCGGAUCAUCCGGCGUUCUUCGCCGGUGCACUCCGCCGGCGCCCGGGCCAGCAUCGGCUCGGCCGCGGGGGAUAAAGGCGGCGGGAACGUGGCCCCUCCGGGGGUGUUAUAGCCCGCCGCGCAAUGCCCCGCGCCGGGCCGAGGACCGCGCCCCAGGCAAGGAUGCUGGCGUAAUGGUCGCUAGCGACCCGUCUUGAAACACGGACCAAGGAGUCGUCUUCGUAUGCGAGUGUUCGGGUGUCAAACCCCUACGCGCAAUGAAAGUGAACGCGGGUGAGAGCCCUCGCGGGCGCAUCACCGACCGAUCCUGAUGUUCUCGGAUGGAUUUGAGUAAGAGCAUACGGGGCCGGACCCGAAAGAAGGUGAACUAUGCCUGUGUAGGGUGAAGCCAGAGGAAACUCUGGUGGAGGCUCGCAGCGGUUCUGACGUGCAAAUCGAUCGUCAAACAUGGGCAUGGGGGCGAAAGACUAAUCGAACC